Molecule: ribosomal RNA, 446 nt
Filed under: uncultured bacterium
Lineage: Bacteria
Description: partial 16S ribosomal RNA
Rfam family: Bacterial small subunit ribosomal RNA
Source: RNAcentral
CCUACGGGAGGCAGCAGUCGAGAAUCAUUCACAAUGGGGGAAACCCUGAUGGGGCGACGCCGCGUGGGGGAAUGAAGGUCUGCGGAUUGUAAACCCCUGUCAUGUGGGAGCAAAUAAAAAAGAUAGUACCACAAGAGGAAGAGACGGCUAACUCGGGGCCAGCAGCCGCGGUAAUACAGAGGACUCAAGCGUUGUUCGGAAUCACGGGGCGUAACGGGUGCGGAGGCUGUUUCGUAAGUCGUGUGUGAAAGGCGCGGGCUCAACCCGCGAACUGCACCUGAUACUGCGAGACUAGAGUAAUGGAGGGGGAACCGGAAUUCUCGGUGUAGCGGUGAAAUGCGUAGAUAUCGGGAGGAACACUCGUGGCGAAGGCGGGUUCCUGGACAUUAACUGACGCUGAGGCACGAAAGCCAGGGGAGCGAAAAGGAUUAGAUACCCGAGUAGUC